AGCGAACGCUGGCGGCAGGCCUAACACAUGCAAGUCGAACGAACUCUUCGGAGUUAGUGGCGGACGGGUGAGUAACACGUUGGAACGUGCCUUUUGGUUCGGAAGAACUCAGGGAAACUUGUGCUAAUACCGAAUGUGCUCUUCGGGGGAAAGAUUUAUCGCCAUUAGAGCGGCCCGCGUCUGAUUAGCUAGUUGGUGAGGUAACGGCUCACCAAGGCGACGAUCAGUAGCUGGUCUGAGAGGAUGACCAGCCACACUGGGACUGAGACACGGCCCAGACUCCUACGGGAGGCAGCAGUGGGGAAUCUUGCGCAAUGGGCGAAAGCCUGACGCAGCCAUGCCGCGUGAAUGAUGAAGGUCUUAGGAUUGUAAAAUUCUUUCACCGGGGACGAUAAUGACGGUACCCGGAGAAGAAGCCCCGGCUAACUUCGUG
Molecule: ribosomal RNA, 433 nt
Filed under: uncultured bacterium
Lineage: Bacteria
Description: partial 16S ribosomal RNA
Rfam family: Bacterial small subunit ribosomal RNA
Source: RNAcentral